GCCGGGCGUGGUGGCUCAUGCCUGUAAUCCCAGCACUUUGGGAGGCUGAGGCAGGUGGAUCACUUGAGGUCAGGAGUUCAAGACCAGCCUGGCCAACAUGGUGAAAUCCCGCCUCUA
RNAcentral lists this non-coding RNA (117 nucleotides) under Nomascus leucogenys (northern white-cheeked gibbon). Lineage: Eukaryota; Metazoa; Chordata; Mammalia; Primates; Hylobatidae. The record is from Rfam by way of RNAcentral.